GUGUGCUUGGAUAUCUAGUGAGACCUAGGCUUCUUAACAAGGGCUAUGGUGCCAUUAUCUUUGCAGUACAAUGUCACGGCAUCUGAUGGUAUGAUAACCAAUUCUGCAACUAACAUUACAACCAGAAUGCAUCCUACACAUCUACAAUGUACUUUGCUUCCAUUAAUCAAUUAUUUGGAAUUCUUCUAAGAUAUUGACAUAGGAACACAUCCAUG
Molecule: long non-coding RNA, 215 nt
Filed under: Elaeis guineensis (African oil palm)
Lineage: Eukaryota; Viridiplantae; Streptophyta; Magnoliopsida; Arecales; Arecaceae
Description: long non-coding RNA (EGUI_LNC062259)
Source: RNAcentral